UCCCCGGGGCCGGAGCGCCCCGGCAGUCCUGCGGUGCAAUCCCCGCUCCUGCCCCGGGCCCCGGCAAACAGGUGGGCGAAGUCCCAAACCGCGCUGAAACCGCGCUUAUAACCGCGCCCGGCUUCCUUCGGGCUACCUUUUUCCCCCUCUUACCCCACACCUGAAGCUGCCCCCGAGCACACCGGGAGCAAAGUAUCCCGGUUUGGGGCUUUUGGCGGGGACUUCACGGCUUUGCGAUGGCUCAGCAUCCCGCCGGAGCUCGCGCUGGCUCCCGGAGUUAAACCCAGCCCUAACAAAGAGCUGUUUAUUAAAGCCAGCGACGCGCCAGCAUCUAUUUGCUUUUGCCUCCCUUCCUCUGGGAUCGGGGUAUCCCAGAGCUGCCGGCGCGGUCCGGCUCAUCCCCACCGGCAGCCCGGGACCCCCGAAACUGCUCCCAGGGAACCAGAGGACACCCAGUGCGUUCUUUGCUUGGGCUGGUGUGUUUUUCCUCCCGCUCUGGAAACGGGAAUCGUUUCGGUGUGGUUAUGAAAGAGGGGGAAGGAAUCCCUCGGGCCAGGUGGGUCAGAGCCCACCGGCUCUGCCUGCUUUCCCAGAGCUCCAAAGCCCUCAGCCCCUCUGUGCUGUCUCCCCGCUGCGCUCCCUGGAUCUCCGAGCUCCGGCUUUGCUCUUUUUCCUCGGUUUGAAGUCAAUCCCACAGGAAUCCCAUAAUAACGGUGCCCGUCUCCGGCAUGAGUCAGUCCCGAGGGAGCGAUCGGUUUGCGGGCAGGAGUCCCACCAGCGUUCCUGGCCCCGGCAGAGCUCACAAGACAGCUGUUUUCCUCUUGUUUUGUCAUGUGGCAGCGGGACAGGGCUCUGGAGCUCCAGCAGGAUGAAACAUGAGUUAUAGCAUCUCUCCCAGGGCUGACAAAGCGAUCCCAGCUCUGCCCGGAGCGCGGCGUCACCCGGGUACAUUCCAGGGAGGAAGCCUGGGCUGAGGAUUUCUUGCCCAGGUGGAAAAAACUCCUGAAUCUUCACAAAUAGGGGGAAGGGGGAAAUAUGAAAUCAGGGAUCUCAUUUGAUGCUGUGGAGCUCCUGCACAAGCCUCCUCCUGCGGGCAGCAGUUGGAUCCUGGCUGGCCCAGCAGCACUGGGACUGGAGUGGGAUCCCCAUCCCUGUCCCCAUCCCUGUUCCCACAGAGCUGCUUCAGCAGGCAGCAGCUCCUGGCCGCCAUCCGGCAGAUGCAGCAGCUGCUGAAGGGGCAGGAGACGCGUUUUUCCGAGGGGCUCCGCGCCAUGAGGAGCCGGCUCAGCUCCCUCCACUCCACCCUGGCCAAGGCAACUCCAGAGGCACCCACCGUCUCCUGUCCUGCCCUCCAAGCCCCCACGGACGGGAGGAAGUUCGGCACCAAGUAUUCGGUGGAGCACGAGGUUCACUUCACCUGCGACCCGGGUUUCCAGCUGCUGGGCUCCAGCACACGGCUGUGCCAGGCCAACGGCACCUGGAGCGGGCAGGAGCCCCGCUGUGAAGAGAUCAGCGAGUGCUCGAGCAGCCCCUGCCAGAACGGUGGGACGUGCCUGGAGGGGCUCAACCAGUUCAGGUGCCUCUGUCCCCAGCAGUGGACUGGGGCCACCUGCCAGCACCGGGCACAGACGGCUCCUCCCGCCUGGAGUGUGAGGGACGAUCCCGCCUUCAGCCGCCAGCCCCGCUGUGCCCAGGUGGCCCAGGCCCAGCAGUGCAGCUGCGAUCCCGGCUUCCACAUGAACGGGACGGCCGCCAACGGGCUCUGCCAGGACCUCAACGAGUGCGAGGUGUUCCAGCGGGACGGGGGGCCCCGGCUCUGUGCCCAUUCCUGUGUCAACCUUCCCGGCUCCUUCCGCUGCUUCUGCCCCUCCGGAUACGUCCUCCUGGGAGACGGCAAGAGCUGCGAGGACAUCGACGAGUGUUCCCUCUCCCAGGAUAACUGCACGGGCGGGAGCACCUGCAUCAACACCGGGGGGGGGUUCCAGUGCGUCACCCCCCAGUGCCCCCCGCCCGCCGGGAACGUCUCCUACGUCAAAACCUCCCCUUUCCAGUGCGAGCGCAACCCCUGCCCGAUGGAGAGCCGGUCGUGCCACCACGCUCCCAAAACCAUCUCCUUCCACUACCUGCCGCUGCCCUCCCGGCUCCCGGCUCCCACGCCGCUGUUCCGCAUGGCCACGGCGGCGGCUCCGGGCCGGCCGGGCCCCGACAGCCUCCGCUUCGGCAUCGCGGGCGGCAAGAGCCGCGGGCACUUCGUGGUGCAGCGCUCGGACCGGCACACCGGGGAGCUCAUCCUGGUGCAGAGCCUGCGGGGCCCCCAGACCAUCCAGGUGGACGUAGACAUGUCCGAGUACCUGGACCGGGUCUUCCAGGCCAAGCACGUGUCCAAAAUCACCCUCUUUGUCUCGCCCUAUGAGUUUUAGGGCGAGGGGGUGGCGGCAGCUCCCGGUCCCUGCUCGGCAUCCUGGUCCUGGGGAUAUCCCGCUCCUGCUCCCGGGGACAUCCCGCUCCUGCUCCCGGGGAUAUCCCGCUCCUGCUCCCGGGGAUAUCCCGCUCCGGAGCCAGCCAGCCUCCCCCUCUGUCCCGAGGUUCUUCCCAGGUGGAUUGACACCCGCCUGUGUGCAGGAGGAAAACCCAAAUGAGGAGGAAAAGGAGCGGGAAGUGGGGCACCGUCCUCACGCCCAGCUCCGGAGGGAUGAGGUCCUACAACCACCUGCUUUCCUCGGGAUUCCUGCUUUUUCCUUUAGGAAGGCAGUGAAGCCGAGCAUGUGGGAGGAGGGAGGCUCCUGGCCUUUCCCACUCUCCUCCCUGCUGGCCUGGGAUUGCUUGGAACCCAGCUCCACAAAAACAGGCCUCUGCUUCCCUUUUCAUCCUCAGAAUCUCCCUGGAGCCUGCUGGGGGAUUGAGGUCCAGGGCCUUAAUCCCCUGGGAUUGAUCAGGGCUGGAAAACUCCAUGAUCGUCCAUCCCACUGGCUCCCGGUGCCUUCCUUGGGAAACUGGGCAAAGGAGGAAUCCCAGUGCUAUCCCUGCUCCUUAAACCUCCCCAGUGGGAAUCCCUCAUGGAUCUCCCGGCUGCGUGUGGAGGUGGGAAUAUUCCCUGCUCCAUCAGCCAUCCCGGUGGAGGAGUGCUGGGAAGAGCUGGCAUUCGGCUCUUCCCAGGGGGAUUCACCCCCCCUGCUUGUGCAUGUUCUCCUGACAUUCUGCAUGUUCCCACAUUCCGCUGGAUUCAGUACAAUUAAAGGAUGCUAUAAAGGAUGGCACUGGAGUGGAGCACCCAGUGGAUGUGUGGAUGGUGGGAAUGCUCAUCUGGAGCCAUCCAGGAGAGCUCUGGGUCUGGUGGGGCAAGGACCUGUUAUCCACAGUUUUACUUUCCUGCCUUACAUUGCUUGGGAUGCUCAGCCGUGAGCAUCCUGCUGAGCUUCCCAGUCCUUGCCCCACGGACAAAGACUUCCCAAGAGGGAUCUGUCUUCUGAGGGGGAGAUGGAUCUUUGCAUCCUUCGGGGGAUUGAGCUCCCGGAUUUUCUGGGGGUAGAGCCUUUCCAUGGGAGUUGGGAUGGGGUCAGGUCUCUCCCGGCAGAACAAGGAGGGACAUUCAGGGCUGCUGCCGGCGGAUGGAGGAUGUUUGGCUUGGCGGGAGCUCCGGAUGGAUGUGGAGCCAGGCAGGGAAAUGCAUCCCAGGGUUGUGCUGGGGGAGGGAAGGGGAAAACUUCCUUAAAAAACCCCAAAAUCUAAAAAAAAAGAGGCUUUUCUGGGAGCAUGGCUGCUCUUCUAUUUCUCCUUUUCCUUCUCCUCCCAUUCCCUGGCAGUUCCCAGCCUGGCUGGAUGUGCUCCUACAGCAGGCCGUGACCGUAUUUUGGGAUGAUAACAAGAUCUGGGAGCCAAGAACCAGGAAUCUGGGAGAGGACGAGCUCCUGAUGGGGCAGAAUAGUUUCCAUGUGCUGCUUUCACUGGAUAGCACAGCUGGAGACGGGCGCCUGGACCGCGCUCCGGAGGCUUUUCCUUGCGGCACAAUUCCAAGCUGACAACAUUUUCCUAAUUCCCAAGGCCAGGAGUGGCUGCUCCGGCACCUUUCAGACUUCCUGAGGCUGGAAUGUGCGGAGAGAGGCUCUUCCAGCCCUCAAAUACAACUUUUCUUUGGGAUAACAAUAUUUUGGAGCCGGAAAAGAAAAGAGCUGGGAUGCUUCAGCUCCCCUUUGGGUGGGCACAGCUGGCUCCAGAUGCACUGCCCCCAAAAAUCACCAUUUCUCACCCCAAGUGGCUCAGGGGAAAAAUGCAAAGGAUGAAGGAGAGAGAGAAAUCCAGUGCCUUGGAAUUUGGGAGACUGGAAUGGGAAAGCAUUCUCUGUCCUCCUUAUUCCAUGAGGAGGGACAAGCCCCACGCUCAGGGCAGUGGGAGGUAACUAUGACAUCCCAUCCCAUUUUCUCAUCAUCCUCCACUUCCCAAAAUCCAUUCCUCAUGGACCUUUCCCAGCUGAACAUCCCAAGUCCGGAGCACCCCUGAGCUUCUCCUCCCCCUGAGCUACAGUUAAAAGAAUGAUAAUUAUUACACACACAGAGAACAUGAAGUUACUGUCAACUACAGGUUGAAAUCGGAAUAUUUAACCAAAAUUUAAGGAUUUUUCCUUUUAUUCCGAAUUUGAAAUCCCUUUUUUUUCCCUUCUCUAUAGCCUGGGGAGAUGGUGCUGAGCCCUGUGGGCACCAUGGGGUUAAUUAGUGAGCAUGAUGGGACUAAUUAGUCCUAAUGAGCCCCAAUGACGCUCCCCAGCCACCAGCACCUCCACAGAGCCCCGUGUCAGUCCCAGCGCUGCUGGAAUGCCAUUUUCCAGUUAUUUCCUUGGAUUUGCCUCAUCUCUAUGACGACUUGGACCCUUAGUCCAGCUUGGCCACACAGAGAUGGUUCUCCCCUCAUGGACCUGAGGCUUUUCCCAAUGGGAACCCGUGGGAAUACAUUUGACUCCUCCCUCUUUUUUUUUUUUUUUUUCCGUAUUUUCCCUUUGGAUUCCUGGCACUGGAAAAAUUGAGUCCGUGUCCUGAAAAGCCUCGCGAGGCAGGCAGACAAGA
This is an RNA transcript of Myiozetetes cayanensis, 5057 nucleotides long. It is a transcript of the gene named fibulin 7, with no coding region annotated. NCBI's taxonomy places the organism in Eukaryota, Metazoa, Chordata, Aves, Passeriformes, Tyrannidae. The record is from RefSeq and is a predicted model, not a curated record. The transcript has 8 exons.